GCACCCUGUGUUAGGCUGGAGGGUCCCUGGCAUCUUUCCUGCCUCCUAGCCCAGGCUCUCUGCCAUCUGUCUCCUGUCUUGGCAGAAAGUGACCAAUGUUUGUCCUGGCCUGAAGUGUUGUGAACCCCAUUAAAGGGCCUUAUGGGCUUGUUUUCCGAGGAGUCAGGGGACCCCGUCCAUGGCGUCUCCCCUGCUGGGCAGUGGUCAGCUCAUGGGCAGCUGUUCUUGUCACAGGGCUGCCCCCAGUGCCACGCAGAUCACUGUGGUCCUUCCACAUUCCUCCUGCGAACUGCUCUACCUGGGCACUGAGAGUGGCAACGUGUUUGUGGUGCAGCUGCCAGCUUUUCGCGCGCUGGAGGACCGGACCAUCAGCUCGGACGCGGUGCUUCAGCGGUUGCCAGAGGAGGCCCGCCACCGGCGUGUGUUUGAGAUGGUGGAGGCACUGCAGGAGCACCCUCGAGACCCCAACCAGAUCCUGAUCGGCUACAGCCGAGGCCUUGUUGUCAUCUGGGACCUACAGGGCAGCCGCGUGCUCUACCACUUCCUCAGCAGCCAGCAACUGGAGAACAUCUGGUGGCAGCGGGACGGCCGCCUG
Molecule: small RNA, 595 nt
Filed under: Pongo abelii (Sumatran orangutan)
Lineage: Eukaryota; Metazoa; Chordata; Mammalia; Primates; Hominidae
Description: retained intron
Source: RNAcentral